CCUACGGGUGGCUGCAGUCGAGGAUCUUCGGCAAUGGGCGAAAGCCUGACCGAGCGACGCCGCGUGGAGGAUGAAGGCCUUCGGGUUGUAAACUCCUGUCGGAGGGGAAGAAAUUUUGACUACCCCCUCGGAGGAAGCCCGGGCUAAGUUCGUGCCAGCAGCCGCGGUAACACGAACCGGGCAAACGUUAUUCGGAAUUACUGGGCUUAAAGGGUGCGUAGGCUGCGCUAUAAGUCGGGGGUGAAAUCCCUCAGCUCAACUGGGGAACUGCGCCCGAUACUGUAGUGCUUGAGGAGGAUAGAGGUGAGCGGAACUAGCAGUGGAGCGGUGAAAUGCGUUGAUAUUGCUGGGAACACCCGUGGCGAAAGCGGCUCACUGGGUCCUUUCUGACGCUGAGGCACGAAAGCUAGGGGAGCGAACGGGAUUAGAUACCCGGGUAGUC
This 442-nucleotide ribosomal RNA is filed under the name uncultured bacterium. RNAcentral's name for it is "partial 16S ribosomal RNA". It matches the Rfam family "Bacterial small subunit ribosomal RNA", at positions 338 to 795 of the family's 1533-position model. The record is from RNAcentral.